This 665-nucleotide ribosomal RNA is filed under the name uncultured fungus. RNAcentral's name for it is "eukaryotic LSU rRNA". The stretch from base 254 to 408 matches the Rfam family "5.8S ribosomal RNA". The record is from RNAcentral. Lineage: Eukaryota; Fungi.
CUUGGUCAUUUAGAGGAGUAAAAGUCGUAACAAGGUUUCCGUAGGUGAACCUGCGGAAGGAUCAUUAUCGAAUCGUAGGCGAGGGUUGUCGCUGGCCUCUCGGGGCAUGUGCACGCCCGAGCCCUUGAAUCCCAAACACCACAUGUGAACCCACCGUAGGCCUUCGGGCCUAUGUCUUAUCAUAUAAUCCGAAUGUCUAAUAAAAUGUAAACCCAUUUCGUUGCCUUGAAAACGUAACGAAAGAAAACUAUACAACUUUCAACAACGGAUCUCUUGGCUCUCGCAUCGAUGAAGAACGCAGCGAAAUGCGAUAAGUAAUGUGAAUUGCACAUUUUCAGUGAAUCAUCGAAUCUUUGAACGCACCUUGCGCCCCUUGGUAUUCCGAGGGGCAUGCCUGUUUGAGUGUCAUUAAAUCCUCAACCCCUCCGAUUCGUUUCGGUGGGGAUUGGACUUGGAGCGUGCUGGCGAAGGUCGGCUCCUCUUUAAAUGCAUCAGCGGAAAAAAUGCCUUUUGCGCCUCUGGCCGUUCAGCGUGAUAAUGAUGUUGCGCUGCGGUCGAGCUUAAGGUCCGCUUCCAAAGGUCCUCGGACAAAUAUACAUAUGACUUUUGACCUCAAAUCAGGUAGGACUACCCGCUGAACUUAAGCAUAUCAAUAAGCGGAGGAA